Molecule: unclassified non-coding RNA, 195 nt
Filed under: uncultured fungus
Lineage: Eukaryota; Fungi
Description: sequence contains ITS1
Source: RNAcentral
GUAUAUAUUAUAUAGGCACAACAUUCUAUUGACAUACAUUGGAGUAAAUGAAGAAACAUAGACCUGGAAGGUCUACAAAAAGUGCACAGGUGGAGAUAUAAAGAUGACAAGGUGUGCACAUGCUCCCUAGAGAACCAGCAACAACCCAUCAGGUUUAUUUCAAUAAUGAUCCUUCCGCAGGUUCACCUACGGAAA